RNA transcript from Chiroxiphia lanceolata (lance-tailed manakin), 1034 nucleotides. RefSeq lists it as uncharacterized. The record is from RefSeq and is a predicted model, not a curated record. NCBI's taxonomy places the organism in Eukaryota, Metazoa, Chordata, Aves, Passeriformes, Pipridae. The transcript has 4 exons.
CACCUCCUCCACCUCACGCCACAGCAGAAACCCUAAGCAGUGUCACAGGGAGUCACAAUCCCUACCCUGAACCUUGCUGUCCCACAGCACCAUCUGUGGGAGGGUCACCCCUGUCCCUGGACACUGUGCCUGUGCUGGGAGCACUGAGCCCGAGUUCAUGGUGGGGUCACAUGACUCACUCCAUCAGCUGACGUCGGGAGCUGUAACCACCACCCUCCAUCGUCUGUUUUUAUUAUAUGUGGGACUGUUUUAUGUGUUUUAUUACAUGUGGGACCCUUGUGCUGGCUGGGAGUGGUGUGUUGACUUUUCUUACACAACCAAAUGAUGGCCAUGGCCAAGGUGGUGCCGGGUUCACUGCUUGGCGGUGUCACCUCUGCCCACCACACCCCUCCUCACCAGGGAGGGACCUGGUAUUUAACAGGUGCCUGACAGCCCAGUUCGAACCGUGCCAAGGACGGUGAUCGAGAGUGCUGCCAGCAUCGCCUCCUCUGGGAGUUUUUGGGCAGGUUUGCUCACAGACCACUGAGGAUGUGUGACCCCCACCAAGGCAUGCCACGACCACACCAUCCAGUUUGCCCUCCUGGUCCUCCGGGACAUCCUGGUUCCGGCACAGGUCCCAACCCUGGUGGCCCUGCAGUCUGCCCCCGUCCACCUGGCCAUGGGCAUCCUCCCCAUGGGCACCCCCAUCCAGGACCACCUCAUGGCCAUCAGAAGCACCAUAAGAAGCACCAUAAAGAGAAGCACUCGAAGCACCAUGGAGACAAGCACUCCAGUGGCUCAAGCAGCAGCUCUGACUCGGACUGAACAUCUGGCAUCUCCCACCUUCAGCAAAACACAAAGCCAAACACCUUGUGGGAACUCCCUGCAUGUAGCUCUACUCCCUUCCCCUUUCCCUUACAGCAGUGUUUUACCUGCUGAGUGAUUUUCUCGUGUUUCCAUUGUAAAUGAUUUGUCCUGGAAUCUCUUAAGUCAUUGGACAGCAUCUCCAUCGUCUGUCUUUUGGGAGAGCCUGCUGAAAGUCAUCAUGUGCUUGU